RNAcentral lists this ribosomal RNA (253 nucleotides) under uncultured bacterium. RNAcentral's name for it is "partial 16S ribosomal RNA". It matches the Rfam family "Bacterial small subunit ribosomal RNA", at positions 524 to 776 of the family's 1533-position model. The record is from RNAcentral.
UACGUAGGGGGCUAGCGUUGUCCGGAAUCAUUGGGCGUAAAGAGCGUGUAGGCGGCCCGGUAAGUCCGCUGUGAAAGUCAAAGGCUCAACCUUUGAAUGUCAGCGGAUACUGCCGGGCUAGAGUCCGGAAGAGGCGAGUGGAAUUCCUGGUGUAGCGGUGGAAUGCGCAGAUAUCAGGAGGAACACCAACGGCGAAGGCAGCUCGCUGGGACGGUACUGACGCUGAGACGCGAAAGCGUGGGGAGCGAACAGG